Molecule: ribosomal RNA, 1372 nt
Filed under: uncultured delta proteobacterium
Lineage: Bacteria; Deltaproteobacteria
Description: 16S ribosomal RNA
Rfam family: Bacterial small subunit ribosomal RNA
Source: RNAcentral
AGUGGCGCACGGGUGAGUAACGCGUGGGUAACCAGCCUCUGAAUCUGGAAUAACUUCGCGAAAGCGUUGCUAAUACCGGAUGUAGUCCCUAGGACCAUGGUCUCGGGGAUGAAAGGUGACCUCUUCAUGAAAGUUGCCGUUCAGGGACGGGCCCGCGUACCAUUAGCUUGUUGGUAGGGUAAUGGCCUACCAAGGCAACGAUGGUUAGCUGGUCUAAGAGGAUGGCCAGCCACACUGGCACUGAAACACGGGCCAGACUCCUACGGGAGGCAGCAGUGAGGAAUUUUGCGCAAUGGGGGCAACCCUGACGCAGCAACGCCGCGUGAGUGAAGAAGGCCUUCGGGUUGUAAAGCUCUGUCUAGUGGGAAAAAACUCCUGGUGUGAAUAGCAUCAGGAUCUGAUGGUACCGCUGGAGGACGCACCGGCUAACUCCGGUGCCAACAGCCGCGGUACUACGGAAGGUGCAGCGUUGUACGGACUUAUUGGGCGUAACGGGCGUGUAGGCGGUUUGGUAAGUCCGAUGUCACAGCCUGGGCUCAACCCAGGAAGUGCAUUUGAAACUGCCAUUCUUGAGUAUGGGAGAGGAGAGUGGAAUCCCAGUGUAGAGGUGAAAUUCGUAGAUAUUGGGAGGAACACCCGUGGCGAAGGCGACUCUCUGGACCAAUACUGACGCUGAGACGCGAAAGCGUGGGGAGCAAACAGGAUUAGAUACCCUGGUAGUCCACGCCGUAAACGAUGAGAACUAGGUGUAGCGGGUAUUGACCCCUGCUGUGCCGCAGCUAACGCAUUAAGUUCUCCGCCUGGGGAGUACGGCCGCAAGGCUAAAACUCGAAGGAAUUGACGGGGGCCCGCACAAGCGGUGGAGCAUGUGGUUCAAUUCGACGCAACGCGAAGAACCUUACCUGGGUUUGACAUCCUCUGACAGCCCCGGAAACGGGGUCUUCCCUGCUUGCAGGCACAGAGUGACAGGUGCUGCAUGGCUGUCGUCAGCUCGUGUCGUGAGAUGUUGGGUUAAGUCCCGCAACGAGCGCAACCCUUGUCUUUAGUUGCCCAUAUUCGGUUAGGCACUCUAGAGAUACUGCCUCGGUUAACGGGGAGGAAGGUGGGGACGACGUCAAGUCAUCAUGGCCUUUAUAUCCAGGGCUACACACGUGCUACCAUGGGCCGGUACAAAGAGUUGCUAGUCCGCGAGGAGGAGCUAAUCUCAAAAAGCCGCUCUCAGUUCGGAUCGGAGUCUGCAACUCGACUCCGUGAAGUUGGAAUCGCUAGUAAUUGUGGAUCAGAUGUCCACGGUGAAUACGUUCCCGGGCCUUGUACACACCGCCCGUCACACCACGAAAGUUGGCUGUACCAGAAGCUGCUGGGCUAACCC